CGANGACCUACCNUUAGAGGCUGCUGCACCUCUUGGGUGCCCCGGUCCAACAUCGAGGUCGCAAACUCUUUCGUCAAUAAGAGCUCUCAGAAAGAAUAACGCUGUUAUCCCUGCGGUAACUUUUUUCCUUGAUCAGUUUUACUGGAUCAUUUAAUUAAAACUAUAAGGUAGUUUUUAGAUUUGUUUGUCUUUUGUUGUAGUGGCGAAGGUUAUUUUUUCUUCGCGGUUGCCCCAACCAAAAACCCCCUUGAGGAAAGUCUAAAUAUUAAAGUAUGUUUAGUUAUUAGCUUUAGUUUUUUGAUGUUUCUUGUCUAGGUUAGUUUAAAGCUCGACAGGGUCUUCUCGUCUUGCGCUUUUAUUUUCGUUUCUUCACAAAAAUACUAGGUUCUUUUUAAAAGUAGGAGACAGUUAAAUCUUCGUCUUGCCUUUCAUACUAGUCCUCAAUUAAAGGACAAAUGAUUAUGCUACCUUUGCACGGUCAAGAUACCGCGGCCGUUGAAUAUGUUAUCACUGGGCAGGCAGUACUCUUUAUAUAUUUAGAAAAACAAAGAGC
This 553-nucleotide ribosomal RNA is filed under the name Hypalocrinus naresianus. RNAcentral describes it as "partial 16S ribosomal RNA". The record is from RNAcentral. Lineage: Eukaryota; Metazoa; Echinodermata; Crinoidea; Isocrinida; Isocrinidae.